CAAAUCCCAAAAGUUGGGGAAAAAUAAAGAGGAUGAAAAUUUGAAAAAAUUAACAAGAUAUACAGGAGAAUGGAUUUAAUUAUACUAGAGAGCAAAUAGCUGGUCUAUUAUGUAUGCUUUGUUAUAUAUAAAAUCAAUCUCUUUUUUUCCUAUUUUUAUUUUCUCAUAUACCUGCCUAUUGUAGCAAAUUUUGCUGUCAUCUUUCCAGAUUAAACUUACGUGUAAAUGAUAAAAGAAGAAUGCUUAACUCCAAGCAUCAUAAAUUUACACUUUAAUAAUUGUAAGGAGUAAAGCUAAAAUGUUGGGCACUGAUAUUUGAUAGGAAUUCACCGACCAACUGCCACUGAAAUACGAAAGUGUUCAAAGUCUCAGAAAGACUGAAUAAAUUUCAACUGAGAUUAACUCUGGAGAACUUUAUGGUCAGAUAGGAAUAGAAAUACAUUACUGCUUAGAAAUGAGUUACACAUUCUUAUAAAAAUAGUAUAUGUACAUGUGGUUUGGUUUGAGCUACAGGGAAAAGAAAACAAUCUUUUGGACUCUGGAGCCCUUUUAUGAAAUUUCUAAUUAAUUUUGAUAAAUCCCUUUUAAUAUGGCAAGGAGUUCCACUUGGGUUUAUCAAUUUAAGAGUUAUACUUGUACUCAGUGGACUAGAAUCUGCCCUAAGCUAGUUAUGCACAACACCUGCUAGAGCUAAUAGAAGUUCCACAUGAGUAGCUGAUUUUUGCCAUAGAGUCAUGUGGAAUUAACUAAUAAUGAAAUUUGGCUGACACUAUCUCAAUUUUUUUUCCAUUUAAAGAGCACUUAUUACCUUGCAUUGCCCCCUACAUAAUUAACUAUUUUAAUAUACACUCUGUACAUUUCAGAUAUGUCAUCACUUUUUCUCUGGUAUUAUGUAAUCAGGCAAAUAAAAUUUAAGGUUUUAUUUCCUAAUUUUAAUUACAAAUGAGCAGCAGCA
Molecule: long non-coding RNA, 955 nt
Filed under: Marmota monax (woodchuck)
Lineage: Eukaryota; Metazoa; Chordata; Mammalia; Rodentia; Sciuridae
Source: RNAcentral